AUUGAACGCUGGCGGCAUGCUUUACACAUGCAAGUCGAACGGCAGCGCGGUCUUCGGCCUGGCGGCUAGUGGCGAACGGGUGAGUAAUACAUCGGAACGUGCCCAGUAGUGGGGGAUAGCUCGGCGAAAGCCGGAUUAAUACCGCAUACGACCUGAGGGUGAAAGCGGGGGAUCUUCGGACCUCGCGCUAGUGGAGCGGCCGAUGGCAGAUUAGCUAGUUGGUGGGGUAAAGGCCUACCAAGGCGACGAUCUGUAGCUGGUCUGAGAGGACGACCAGCCACACUGGGAGUGAGACACGGCCCAGACUCCUGCGGGAGGCAGCAGUGGGGAAUUUUGGACAGUGGGCGAGAGCAUGAUACAGCAAUGCCGCGUGUGUGAUGAAGGCCUUCGGGUUGUAAAGCACUUUUGGCGGGAACGAAAAGGACUGUGCCAAUACCACGGUUCGAUGACGGUAACCGCAGAAUAAGCACCGGCUAACUACGUG
This 484-nucleotide ribosomal RNA is filed under the name uncultured bacterium. RNAcentral's name for it is "partial 16S ribosomal RNA". It matches the Rfam family "Bacterial small subunit ribosomal RNA", at positions 29 to 507 of the family's 1533-position model. The record is from RNAcentral.